GUGAGGAAUAUUGGUCAAUGGACGAGAGUCUGAACCAGCCAAGUCGCGUGAAGGAAGACGGUUCUAUGAAUUAUAAACUUCUUUUGUGCAGGAAUAAAGUGGGGUACGUGUAACCUUUUGUAUGUACUGUACGAAUAAGGAUCGGCUAACUCCGUGCCAGCAGCCGCGGUAAUACGGAGGAUCCGAGCGUUAUCCGGAUUUAUUGGGUUUAAAGGGUGCGUAGGUGGAUUGAUAAGUCAGCGGUGAAAGUUUGCAGCUUAACUGUAAAAUUGCCGUUGAAACUGUCGGUCUUGAGUGCAAAUGAGGUAGGCGGAAUGUGUUGUGUAGCGGUGAAAUGCUUAGAUAUAACACAGAACUCCGAUUGCGAAGGCAGCUUACUGGGAUGCAACUGACACUGAUGCACGAAAGCGUGGGUAUCAAACAGGAUUAGAAACCCCAGAAGUCC
RNAcentral lists this ribosomal RNA (445 nucleotides) under uncultured bacterium. Its description in RNAcentral is "partial 16S ribosomal RNA". It matches the Rfam family "Bacterial small subunit ribosomal RNA", at positions 354 to 796 of the family's 1533-position model. The record is from RNAcentral.